GAUGAACGCUGGCGGCGUGCCUAAUACAUGCAAGUCGAGCGAACAGACGAGGAGCUUGCUUCUCUGAUGUUAGCGGCGGACGGGUGAGUAACACGUGGAUAACCUACCUAUAAGACUGGGAUUACUUCGGGAAACCGGAGCUAAUACCGGAUAAUAUUUUGAACCGCAUGGUUCAAAAGUGAAAGACGGUUUUGCUGUCACUUAUAGAUGGAUCCGCGCCGCAUUAGCUAGUUGGUAAGGUAACGGCUUACCAAGGCAACGAUGCGUAGCCGACCUGAGAGGGUGAUCGGCCACACUGGAACUGAGACACGGUCCAGACUCCUACGGGAGGCAGCAGUAGGGAAUCUUCCGCAAUGGGCGAAAGCCUGACGGAGCAACGCCGCGUGAGUGAUGAAGGUCUUCGGAUCGUAAAACUCUGUUAUUAGGGAAGAACAAAUGUGUAAGUAACUAUGCACGUCUUGACGGUACCUAAUCAGAAAGCCACGGCUAACUACGUG
RNAcentral lists this ribosomal RNA (497 nucleotides) under uncultured bacterium. Its description in RNAcentral is "partial 16S ribosomal RNA". It matches the Rfam family "Bacterial small subunit ribosomal RNA", at positions 28 to 507 of the family's 1533-position model. The record is from RNAcentral.